Molecule: long non-coding RNA, 2008 nt
Organism: Diabrotica virgifera virgifera (western corn rootworm)
Lineage: Eukaryota; Metazoa; Arthropoda; Insecta; Coleoptera; Chrysomelidae
Exons: 2
Source: RefSeq, a predicted model, not a curated record
GAAAUUGGAUAUCAUGGGAAAUAAGACUUGAAUCCAAUAUCUUUAAUAUCCAUUUUGAUAGAAUUCAAACAAAUUACAAUUCAUACAAAUUACAAAUUUUAAUAAGCAAAUCAGUAAGCACACAAAAAUAAACAGAGGUAACAUUUAAAAUGUUAAAUAAUUAAUUUAAACUUAUUCUUUUUCUCAAUGGUCUCUUGCGUAAUCAGUCAUCCAGUCGCACGAACUUAUAUAUUAAAUAUUAAAAUUAUAAUGAAUAAAAUAAAAAAACAUAAUUAAUUUUACUAUUAAUUCUGUGUAUUCAUUUAGUAAUCAGGUUACAAUAAUAUUUCAGUUCAUAAUUUGUGUCUUUCUAGAUAAGUAUCUAUUUUUCUCGUUUUGUAUAUUUCACAUACAUAAAUUUUAUCAGAAAAGUAUAAGUUUCAAACCGCGAGAUUGCGCUACCGUCGAAACUCACAGCCAAUAGCGAAGCGAAGCCACACAAUACAGAGUACGAUUCGAACUGAACCGUUGCUUUGCUACGCUUCGCUACGACUUGCUUACGCUUUCGCUAUAAAAGUUAUAGAGUCCCACUGCUGAGCUGGUGUAGUAAACAUCGGGUGCGUUCACCAGACCAGCAUUGGGACUACGUGCAUUAUCGCCUGAGUCGAACGCCUGAGUCGAUCGUAUUCUAAGGAAUAUAGACGGUUCUAGAAGAGACCACACUAAACGUGACUAAACUCAACAGGGACGUUUGCAUAGGUAUAUAUUAACAUAGAGUGAGCCUUCACUCCGCGCGUCCUGACGACAAUUAUCUCUUCGACUGGUUUGCGCUAUCUCUUUCUAGCACAUUGUACCGAGAAACUAAGAUGACAUUAAGGUGUGAAUAUAGGCACGGAAGAGGAGGACAACUGUCGUAGCUUAAUAUGCGUAAGAGUGAAACAGCACUAAUCCAAAGAAAAAAGAUGGCGUCGUCACUUCGCUUUGAAUGACACUCUCUCUAUGUCAAUUUACCUCUAUGGACGUGUGCUGUGAUUGGCAGUCAUCGUCAUCGGAUUGCAUGAUUUGAGUUUCCACUAGACUUGUGUUAUGGACGGAUUUUACGGGCUGUGAUUGGUCGUAUUCAAAUCAAUGACAUAUUUGAUGACAUUUGAAAGAAAUACGUAACCCUGUUUUCUCGUUUGUUUUUGUUUAUGCAGUGUGUUUAUGUUAUACAAAAGAAAAAUAUUGAUAUUUUAGUUAUUAAUCUUGGAUUUUGAGACUAUUUUAUACGUUUAUACUUGUUUAUUGUAUUCAUUUUUGAACAGCCAUAUUAUUUCCAGCAAAAGUUAUGGAACGUUUACAGAUACAUAGUAAUAUUUAUAAAAAAAAAACAAAUUACUUUCUGCUUGCUUCCUAUAUUUUGUAAAUUUUUAAAGCUUCCUCCCAGACUCAUUUGAGUAUAAGGUGGUUCAUUUUUCCGAAAUAAAUGGAAAGGAUGGCGCAUUUAAUGCAGUGAUUUGAGCUAAUAUAACAACACAAGAAGAUGCUCAAAAUUGUCAAAAAGAAUAUGAAAAUAUUAAUAAAGUAAAUUUUAGAGUUCUAAGAACUUAUCCAAAUGAUUCUAUGAAGCUUGUUUUCAAGAAAGACUAUCGAUGCCAUCGCAAUACUCAGGCUAAUUUGCCUUCAUCAAAGACAAAAAAUCCGUCAUCUAAACAUGGUAACUGUCAGGCAUUCUUAAUAAUUACAGUGAAACCAUCAAGUAUGAAAAGGUAAAGUCUAUUUGCUAAUCUGAGACACAACUACUGUCUAGUGACGUUGGUAAUUUUUUUUGAGAAGUUAGGUUGCUAGACGUAACUGGAAAAGACUACACAACCAAACAUAACUACUCAUAGCCAAUAUUAUUAUUAACAGUAAACAGGCAUAAAUAACAUAACAUACACCAAUCAAUAAUUAUUUAUUUAAACCUUUAUAAUGUAUUGAUAACAGAUGAGAAAAGUAUUUAUUGUACAAAAUAAAAAUAUUUUAUAGAAAUAAAUUCCACAAAAUUUUA